RNA transcript from Salvia splendens (bonfire salvia), 730 nucleotides. RefSeq lists it as uncharacterized. Lineage: Eukaryota; Viridiplantae; Streptophyta; Magnoliopsida; Lamiales; Lamiaceae. The transcript has 5 exons. The record is from RefSeq and is a predicted model, not a curated record.
CAGAGAGCAUAUGAGGUUUCGAAUCAUGGUCGAAACAAGGGUGUCGCGUUAAAGAGCUGAAACCGGAGACGGCAUUUACAGUACUCAACGAGGAAGCUGAAUCUAUCCUUGAGGAAAUCAAACCUACCCCAUUUAAACUUGUUGCUUUGGGAGUGGCCAUUUCUGCAGCAGCUUAUUCAUUACUGGAGUAGGAUACGACGCUGCAGUUCAUUGGUGUUAUCGGUCUUGGACAGACUCUACUCAGACGAACCGCGUUGUAUCAAGGUGCAGAAGACUUCCAGAAAGAUGUAAGGUUCCCAUUUAAACAAAUAAAAGCUUUCUACAGAUACAGUUACAACAUAUAUUCAGACACAAUUUUUGGUUUCUCUACUGUUGAAAAUUUUACUACUACCUUAGGUCUCUGCUAGAACCAGUCGCAUUUGGAGGUCAGGCGAUUUCAUGGGGUGCUGGGAAGCUGGAGACGAACCGGAACGGACUUCCUACGUCGCCCUCCUCGUCAGAGGUCCAAAGCCGGGUGCUGCAAGCAGCGGCAAAGCUAGAAUCUCAACCCCCUGAGGAAGUACAUAUAUCUGAAGCAUAGGAAUAUUCAAACUCAGAAAUUAAAAUACUUACAUGAAAUAUGUUGGAUUCUGGUUUCCUCAUGUUGUAAGAAAUCAUGUCAACCACUCUUGAUUGCAUGUUAUAGGUUUUUGCUUGCAAUUAAGUUUGAUCGAAGGAUAACAUUUUGCAA